Molecule: transfer RNA, 69 nt
Filed under: Discoglossus galganoi (Iberian painted frog)
Lineage: Eukaryota; Metazoa; Chordata; Amphibia; Anura; Alytidae
Description: tRNA-Asp
Rfam family: tRNA
About the family: Transfer RNA (tRNA) molecules are approximately 80 nucleotides in length. Their secondary structure includes four short double-helical elements and three loops (D, anti-codon, and T loops). Further hydrogen bonds mediate the characteristic L-shaped molecular structure. tRNAs have two regions of fundamental functional importance: the anti-codon, which is responsible for specific mRNA codon recognition, and the 3' end, to which the tRNAs corresponding amino acid is attached (by aminoacyl-tRNA synthetases). tRNAs cope with the degeneracy of the genetic code in two manners: having more than one tRNA (with a specific anti-codon) for a particular amino acid; and 'wobble' base-pairing, i.e. permitting non-standard base-pairing at the 3rd anti-codon position.
Source: RNAcentral
GAGGUGUUAGUAAAACCAUUACACUACCUUGUCAAGGCAGAGUUGCGAGUUAAAACCACGCACACCUUA